AUGCCGGCCAUCUCCUCGAUGGCCGUCAUCCGCUUGGUGAUGGCGCCCUGCUGCGAGAGCUUGUGGGAGCCGAUGGCCAUGGUGACGGAGAGCACGGUGGGCAUGGCGAUGGGGAUGCCGCCGAUGAGGAGCACGAGGAGGUUGUCGAUGCCGUCGCGGUACCGGCGGUGCUGGAUCGGGUACAUGACGACGAUCUCCACCAGCAUGCCGAUGGCGAUGGACACGAUGCAGAAGUUGCCGAUCGCAUGUUUUGAGUAA
This 258-nucleotide ribosomal RNA is filed under the name Triticum aestivum (bread wheat). RNAcentral's name for it is "partial small subunit ribosomal RNA". The record is from RNAcentral. Lineage: Eukaryota; Viridiplantae; Streptophyta; Magnoliopsida; Poales; Poaceae.